CCUACGGGAGGCAGCAGUGGGGAAUAUUGCACAAUGGGGGAAACCCUGAUGCAGCGACGCCGCGUGAGUGAAGAAGUAAUUCGUUAUGUAAAGCUCUAUCAGCAGGGAAGAAAAUGACGGUACCUGAGUAGGAAGCCCCGGCUAACUACUGGCCAGCAGCCGCGGUAAUACGUAGGGGGCAAGCGUUAUCCGGAGUUACUGGGUGUAAAGGGAGCGUAGACGGCAGUGCAAGUCUGGAGUGAAAGGCGGGGGCUCAACCCCCGGACUGCUCUGGAAACUGUACGGCUGGAGUGCAGGAGAGGUAAGUGGAAUUCCUAGUGUAGCGGUGAAAGGCGUAGAUAUUAGGAGGAACACCAGUGGCGAAGGCGGCUUACUGGACUGUAACUGACGUUGAGGCUCGAAAGCGUGGGGAGCAAACAGGAUUAGAUACCCGAGUAGUC
This 440-nucleotide ribosomal RNA is filed under the name uncultured bacterium. RNAcentral's name for it is "partial 16S ribosomal RNA". It matches the Rfam family "Bacterial small subunit ribosomal RNA", at positions 338 to 795 of the family's 1533-position model. The record is from RNAcentral.